RNAcentral lists this ribosomal RNA (255 nucleotides) under Triticum aestivum (bread wheat). Its description in RNAcentral is "partial small subunit ribosomal RNA". The record is from RNAcentral. Lineage: Eukaryota; Viridiplantae; Streptophyta; Magnoliopsida; Poales; Poaceae.
AUGCAGACCUUACUACACAUGCUGAAUUCUUCAUCAACAUCCUCAAAGAGACAUGGACCCGUCACUACGAAAACUCAAGGGUCCAGAUCAAUCAUUUUCCAAUCGAGUAUGUUGCGACUACACUGCAAGGAAACCGGCAUGACUACGGGUUUCACAAGUUGGAAUACCUUGCUAAGUGGUAAGGCCGACGGGUCCCCGUCGUCACAGCUGCAAUGGUUGUUGAGCUUCGCAAAAUAUACACAUGGAACUGGUUGA